RNAcentral lists this ribosomal RNA (125 nucleotides) under Oxyopes lineatipes. RNAcentral's name for it is "partial 5.8S ribosomal RNA". The stretch from base 22 to 125 matches the Rfam family "5.8S ribosomal RNA", at positions 34 to 136 of the family's 154-position model. From Rfam's summary of the family: 5.8S ribosomal RNA (5.8S rRNA) is a component of the large subunit of the eukaryotic ribosome. It is transcribed by RNA polymerase I as part of the 45S precursor that also contains 18S and 28S rRNA. The record is from RNAcentral. Lineage: Eukaryota; Metazoa; Arthropoda; Arachnida; Araneae; Oxyopidae.
UUGGGAUCCGAUGGUGGGGGACGAUGAAGAACGGAGCGAAAUGCGAUACUUGGUGUGAAUUGCAGAAUCCCGUGAACCAUCGAGUCUUUGAACGCAAGUUGCGCCCGAUGCCAUUAGGUGAGGGC